UACGGAGGGUGCAAGCGUUGUCCGGAAUCACUGGGCGUAAAGGGCGCGUAGGCGGCUCAUGAAGGCUGUGGUGAAAGCCCGGGGCUCAACCUCGGAUCGGCCGUGGCGACUGGUGGGCUGGAGCACGGUAGGGGCGGGUGGAAUUCCGGGUGUAGCGGUGGAAUGCGUAGAGAUCCGGAGGAACACCAGUGGCGAAGGCGGCCCGCUGGGCAGUGGCUGACGCUGAGGCGCGAAAGCCAGGGGAGCAAACGGG
This 253-nucleotide ribosomal RNA is filed under the name uncultured bacterium. Its description in RNAcentral is "partial 16S ribosomal RNA". It matches the Rfam family "Bacterial small subunit ribosomal RNA", at positions 524 to 776 of the family's 1533-position model. The record is from RNAcentral.